This 2381-nucleotide long non-coding RNA is filed under the name Theobroma cacao (cacao). RNAcentral describes it as "long non-coding RNA (TCAC_LNC005353)". The record is from RNAcentral. Lineage: Eukaryota; Viridiplantae; Streptophyta; Magnoliopsida; Malvales; Malvaceae.
UAAAUAUUUUUUUACAGCGUAAAAGCAAAAUAAAUUCAUAUAUACUGUAAUACAGUAAACAAAAGUAUUUAAUUUAAUUUACAGUAACAAGUGAGCCCUCAAAUAACCAAAAGUAUGAAAGACUGUGAACCUACAAUUUGGAAGAUGCAAAUCUAAUGCUAGUCCUCGACGAAAUGUGGUAUCUAUGGACUAUCCUGAACCUGAAAUGGGUGGAAGUGAGGGUGGUGAGAUUAUAUAAUCUCAGUGAGUAAACAAAUAUCAUCUAAAAUAUCUAAAGCUGAGUAAAUGGAGACAGAUAAAAUAGAUUAGCAUAAAAUAAUUCAUAGCAUUUCAAACUCAUUUUUAUGAGAUAAAAUAAAUUUAUUUCAUCCAAAUAAUCAUUGAGGCUUAUGAUUUUUUGAAAAGCUUGGCUCGUGCAAAAAAAAUCAUUACCAUACUCAGUUAUCAGGAAUACCUUGACUGAGGGCUAUCCCAACUAAGUCCGCCAAGCCUGUAAAAAAAAUUAUAUACACAUAAAUCAUGUUUUUAUUUUGAAAACAUAGCCGUUUCUUGGCAUUGGCCGAGUUCACCAUCACGUGGUGGUUUUGCAUGAAGUGAACUCUAAAGUGUUAACCUCAAGCGUUAUCCACCUACGCCUCUCUACUGAGGUAAGAUAUAAUGGGGUUUACCUUGCCCUUCUAACAGGCUGGUCCACGAAAACCCGCCCAUUGCAAUAAGCUAAUUGAUAUCCACCAAAUCAAUAAAAUUCCAACAGCAUGACGUGGUAAUUAUUUUACAACACAGCAUGUCAAGGCAAAACAACAGUUCAUACAUUUUCAGCACAUUUACCAAAUCCAGCCACUCAUGCCCACAUUAUCAUAAGCCAUUCAAUUCAAACCAUAAUUUACAACACAACACUUAGUCUCCAAUUACUCCAUUUUCCAAAACCAUCAUUCAAUUUCAAGACAAUUUUAUAAAAUCAUUUCAUUUAAUCACAUUUUGCUUUUAAAACAUAAAGAUUUACCAUUUAAACUCAUUUUCCAUAAAAUCACAAAAACGAAUAAAAACUACUUUAGAUAAUCAAGAUGAUGAUAAGAUUACUCACAAUGUCUAGAGUGCGGAUUUUCAAAGUACUCUAACUACUGGUCCUCGGAUGCAAUUUCUUACGUUUAUCGGAGGACUCACCACCUUGACAUAGUACAUAAUCGAGAAACUUAUUAUGUCACAACCCGGUACUCCCCUUGAGCCCGUGACAACUGUAGCGACGUCCCGGUAAACAUUCGUUACCCAAAGUGCCAACCGGAACCUCGUAAGGCUUUAGUACCAUUUUUUUUUCAUCUCCCCUGUGAGUAAUCAUCGCCAAACCUCGUUUUUAAAGAAUUUUAAGCUUUUUCCCUUUCAAAACUGUGAAAAAAUAAUUUUCGCCUCAUAGGGGUGUUUUCGUCAUUUUUCCUUAAAAUUUUUCGAACCUGACUAAAAAUGUAGUAGAUGAGUGGAAAACACAUAUUUCAUGAUUUAAAAUAAAUUUGGGUGUCUAAAACAUUUAUUAAAAAUGAUAUUGCAACUAUUUGAAUAAAAUAAAAAUAUUUAAUAAAAUAUUCUAAUUUCUUGUAAAACAAUAUUUAUAGUCAUCAGUAAAUAACUUUUGUAAUGUAAAAGCUAAAUAAAUUCAUACGUACUAUAAUACAGAUAACCGGGAUAUGAAAUUUACUUUACAGUGACUCGUGGGCCCACAAGGAACAAAAGUGCACAAAGGCAGUAAACCUACAGUUUUUGGAGUAGUAAAGCCGACUAUAAUGCUUGACGAUAUCUGUUAUCCACAAGCUACCUUGGGCCUGAAAUGGUUGAAAAUGAGGGUGGUGAGAUUAUAAAAUCCCAAUAAGUAAACAGAUACCAUCUAAACUAUCUAAAGUCGAGUAAAUGGAGACAGAUAAAACAAUUUAACAUAUUGAAAUUCAUCACCUUUCAACUUGUUUCAACCAAAUAAAAUCAAUUCAUAUAAAUCGAGUAAUUAACAUAGCUUAUGAAUUUCUUAAAACUUUGGCUCAUGCCAAAAUCAUUAUCAUACUCAGUCAUCAGGGAUACCUUGGCCGAGGGCUAUUCCAAACCGAAUCCGCCAAGGCUGUUAAAAAGUUAUGUACGUAUAAAUCAUGUUUUUAUUUUGAAAACAUAGCCGUUCCUUAGCGUUGGCCGAGUUCCCCUCACGUGGUGGUUGGGCGUGAAGUGAACUCUAAAGUUUGACCUCGGGAGUUACCCUACGCGCCUCUCCAAUCGACGUACAUAUAUAUGACCAGGUUCCGUGCCCCUCUAAUAGGUUGGUCCACAGAACCAGCCCACUGCAGCAAGCUAAACCCACCAUACAAUAAAAAUUCAACAGCAUGAUAUGGCAAUUUUAUCAUUAU